This 420-nucleotide ribosomal RNA is filed under the name uncultured bacterium. RNAcentral's name for it is "partial 16S ribosomal RNA". It matches the Rfam family "Bacterial small subunit ribosomal RNA", at positions 361 to 773 of the family's 1533-position model. The record is from RNAcentral.
AUAUUGGAUAAUGGGGGCAACCCUGACCCAGCCAUGUGGCGCGUGUGAAGAAGGUCUUCGGUUCGUAAAGUAAUUUAGGUUGUGAGGAAGGGCUUUAGGAUAAUACACUGAAUCUUUGACGUUCCCGACAUAACAAUAACCGGCUAACUUCGUGCCAGCAGCCGCGGUAAUACGAAGGGUGCAAGAGUGAAUAGGAAUUAUUGGGCGUAAAGCGCGCGUAGGUGGUUUGUUAAGUUGGAAGUGAAAGACCCGAGCUCAACCUGGGGACUACUUUCAUAACUGCUGAGCUAGAGUACGGUAGAGGGUAGUGGAAUAUCCUGCGUAGCAGUGAAAUACGUAGAUAUAGGAAGGAACACCAGUGGCGAAGGCGACUACCUGGACUGAUACUGACACUGAGGUGCGAAAACGUGGGGAGCAAAC